Molecule: ribosomal RNA, 503 nt
Filed under: uncultured bacterium
Lineage: Bacteria
Description: partial 16S ribosomal RNA
Rfam family: Bacterial small subunit ribosomal RNA
Source: RNAcentral
AACGAACGCUGGCGGCACGUUUUAAGCAUGCAAGUCGAAUGGCAGUGGGGGCAACCCCAUGAGAAUGGCGAACGGGUGAGUAACACGUAGGUGAUCUGCCUGACGGAUGGGGAUAGCUUGUGGAAGCACAGGGUAAUACCGAAUGAGCUGACGAGACUUUGGUUUUGUUAGUAAAGGUGCUACGGCACCGCCGACAGAGGGGCCUGCGGCUGAUUAGCUAGUUGGUGGGGUAAAGGCCUACCAAGGCGACGAUCAGUAGCCGGCCUGAGAGGGUGUACGGCCAAACUGGAACUGAGACACGGUCCAGACUCCUACGGGAGGCAGCAGCUAAGAAUCUUCCGAAAUGGGCGAAAGCCUGACGGAGCGAUGCCGCGUGAUCGAUGAAGGUCGAGAGAUUGUAAAGAUCUUUUCUACAUGAGGAAUAAGUCUGGGAGGGAAUGCCUGGAUGAUGACGUUAGUGUAGGAAUAAGCCCCGGCUAAUUACGUGCCAGCAGCCGCCGUAA